Molecule: long non-coding RNA, 6600 nt
Organism: Meriones unguiculatus (Mongolian gerbil)
Lineage: Eukaryota; Metazoa; Chordata; Mammalia; Rodentia; Muridae
Exons: 6
Source: RefSeq, a predicted model, not a curated record
GGUCAUCCUCACCGGGAAGGAAGCAAGAGGAGCCUAGCAAAUGUGAUUGCUGCACUUGCUGUACUGCCUGCCCUCAAGUCCCGGUGUUCCUCACAGCAGUUUGUUUUUAGGCAGAGUCAAAAUGUUCCCAUAUCAAGAGAGCCACAUCAAGGCAGCCCCAUGAAGAUGUUUCUGGCAUCUAAAUGACUAUAUCAAAGCAGUGUGUCAGCAAAACAGACUACGACAAAACAGCAUGCAUCAAAAUGGCUGUAUCAUCCAUUGGUACAGACUCUGUCAUCAAGCGACUGCACUCUAGAAUAUCGCUGCUGUCUAUGAUACCCAGCUGGCCUGAAAAUCUUCCCUGAAAUUUCUGUUGCAAGGAAACCGUUUUAUCUCUGCCCCUCCAGCUUGGAAGUGCCUACCACACACAGCUGCCUCUCAAGCAUUUGGGGUGGGAAAUCGAGGAGGGGCCGUAACCCAACCUUGGGUCAGCGCCAAAAGAAGAUAAAGGAACAGCUGCAAGACACAGAGUGAGAAGCGGGAACUCAGCAGAGGCGGAAACUCAAAUCCUGAGGCUGCCGUGAGAAUGGGCAACAGAAGCGCUGCCUGGCGUCUGGGGCGAGCACUGGCUUUCCUCUAGGACAGGCAAUGAGUUUUUCUAGACGAGCUCAUUUGCAUGAUAAUCCUCUAACAGCAUACUCUACAGAUUGCUGAGCACUGUUGAAAACUGAAAACUCUAGGUAAGGAUGGCUUGUGGGAUGACAUGUUAUCCACAGGUUAAACUCUAAUCCCCUAUGUGCAGCGGGGAUCAGUGUGAGGGAAGUAAGCGGGCCGUGAAAGUGGAGACCCCACAAAUGGCAUUAAUGGCCCUGUAAAAAGGACUCGAGGGAUCCUUUUGCUGUGUGCAGAUACAAAAACACAUAUCAGUUAGUAACCAGGAGCAGAGUCCCAGCCUGACCAGAACCUAAACAUGCCGACAUCUUCCUUUAGGACUUCCGGCUUCCAGACUUGUGAGAGAUCGAUUUCUGUUGUUUAUAAGUCAUCCAGUGCACAGUACUUCAUUAUAGUGCCACAAAUUGACUAUGAUAGUGUUCCCAUUUUGAUCCUCUCCUAUCCACAUUGUACCUUGCUUUCUGUUUUCCCAUGUGAUUCUGCAUUCUCACCCUAGACUUUGCUCCCUAUGGUGGUUUGAGUGUGCAUCUCCCCCGUAGGCUCAGAUGUUUGAAUAUUUGACCCCCAAGUUAGUGGAACUGUUUGCAUAGGCUCAGGAGGAGUGGCCUUGCUGGAGGGAGGUGGUACUGGGGGUGAGCCUUGAGCUUUCAAAGCCACAGGCUAGUCCCAAUUUUUUCUCUCUGCUAUAUGCUUGAGAUGAGGCCUUCUCAGCUUUUUGCUCCAGCCUCCAUACCUGUUACUUGCUGCCAUGAUUUUCUUUUAAUGGACUCUCAUCCCUCUGGAACUGUAAGUCAAAUAAACCUCUACUAUAAGUUGCCUUGGUCAUAAGAAGUUACUAAUAUGCAACCCAUACUAAUAGGUCACUGUUUUGGCAUUUUAAAAAGUACACUUUAGCUUAUUUUCUGUUUGUGUGUGUAGGUAUAUGUGCAUACCAUCGCACACGUGUGGAGCUCAGAGGACAACUUGCAGGAGUCUCUCUUUCCACCGGGUCUUACCCUGAGAUAGAACUUGGAUCAUCAAGAUUUGGUUACCCACUUCAGGACUUAGGUUCUAGAAAUUUAAGCAUGAAUAAACUCGAUUUCUCCUUCUGCUGAGUUACAGUUCAGUGGGGAUACAUAAACAAUUAACAGUGCAAUACAGUAAGUGCAAACUAUAAAAAUAAUCAUGGCUUUAUGAGAUCAUAAAAGAGAAGCACUUAGUGAAGUCCUUAGAAGUGGGUCAGUUUUUUACUAUGCUAACAGGUGAGUCAGAUCUUAAAGGAUGUGAAGAGUUAAGCAGAGAGAAGGAGGCAACCUGGAACUGGGUUGGAGGCAGGAGGAGGAAGUGAACCUGGAAGGAACCGAUUUCUAUACAAAGGCAUGGAAAGAAAAAAGGCAAAUUGUAUAGGGGACACCAGCAGGCUUGAGUUGUUAGAGACAAGGCUUAGCUAUAAAUAAGAGUAGGAAAAAUGUCUAGGCUAGAUGAUAGCAGACUCAGUCUAAUAUUAAAGGCAUUCACCAUCUUGCCUGCAAUAUGGAGGUGUGAAAGGGGUUUGGGGACAUAAAGGAGCAUGGCAAGAUCAGAGUUUUAAAUAAAUUGCUUCAGUGUCUAAAGAAGAACACUUACUAGCAGGUUCUAGCUGCAUCCACAUUUCAUGUAGAAAAACAGGAAAUUUGUUAGCUCAUUGUUCUAGUCCACGUGAAAGCUGACUUAAGUCUUAACUGAGGCACGGAUAGUGAAGAGCAGAGGCAGGAGCAAAUAAGUUACUGGCAACAGACAGGGAUGAUGAAUACUACCAAAGAGUUCCUUCCCGGACGACAUGUAUGGGUAACAGGAUCAUGAGUUAAGAUUAUGUUUACAGGAGGAAGGUGUGUUCAGUGGAGAAAAUGAUGAAGUCUGCUCUAAAGUUCUUGAGUCCCCAUUGCCUUUAGAUGAGCCAGAAUGAAAGAACAGAGAGAAGAGAUGCAGACUGGAAGCAGAGCACUGGAGUUCACCUCCAUACAGGAUGAUACCGCCCGUACUCAGGGUAGGCACCCCAGCUUAACCUUUCUGAAAACACCCUCACACACAUGCCUGAAGGGUUGUCUCCUCGCUGACUAUCAACCUUGUCACGCUGAUAAGUUUAACCAUCAUGACUUGGACGUCAGGUGAAUUGAAGACUUGAAAGUGAAAAGCAGAAUAAUGCUUGCAGAAGGAUGUGAAGAAGAAAUUUACCUCCUGUAACCUGCGAGAUCUACACUGGAAAGAAACCCACCAGUAUUUUGUGGCGUUGAAGACAUGAAACUGUUCAAUAUGGCAAUUCGAUUUUUAAAUGUUAAUUUGUCAUUUAUUUUUAUGUAUAUGAAUGCUCUAUCUACACAUACAUUCCAUGUCAGUAUAGAUGGCUAUGAGCCACCAUGUGGUUGCUGGGAGUUGAACUCAGGACCUUUGAAAAGGGUAACCAGUGGUCUUAACCUCUGAGCCAGUUUUCCCGCCCCUGGAAUUUGAGACAUGUAUUUAAAAAUGUAAAUCUAUAAUGAGAACUGCCUUAAUGAUUCUUUCUUCUUUAUUGUUUGUGAUAGAAAGUAGAAACUCAGUAGUAGACUGUAAGUGAGUGGUGGAUUCUUCAAUGAUAAAAAAUUAUAUAGCAGUGAAAAUGAGUGGACUAGGUCCACUCAUAACACAGAUAGAUCUUGAGAAUAUAAUACUGCAUACGAGAGGUGACCUUCAGGAUAUGUUUUAUAUGUGUGUGGAAGAAAUGCAUACCAGCUUUAGACCAGCAAUGAUAUCUUGGUAGCCAGAAGAGAAAGGGACUGGUUGGAGUAUUAAGGGGAUUUCAACUGUAAUUUUAACACCUUCUUUCUUUUUCUUUUCUUUCUUUCUUUUUUUUUUUAAAUAUCUGAAGAAAAAGAGUUACCAAAAGGUAAGGAGGUAGUGGAGACAAUGAAUAUAGACCAUCCUUUCAAAAGUUCAGGGAGAAAAAAGAAGAGAGAGAUUGAUGGUAGCUUCAGGAAGAUACUGGCUCGGAAGAUUUACUCAGUCAACAAUUUUUAUUAUGAUUUUGUGAGGUGAAUUAACUCACUUAUUGUGGACCAGGGCUGCUGGAACGGUAGCACUUCUGCUGGUAAUUCAGUUCCUUCAGUCUUCUGAUAGUUGACUUGACUGUGACAGCAGAAGUGGUCUUGCACAUCCAGGACCCACCAGCCAUUGUUUUCAUGAAGGAACCACAGCUGCAGAUGAUAAUAAUCUUGGUCUUGCCACAGAGGAGACAAGGAUCCUGAAGUGCCGGUUGAUUUCAUAUUUUGUCACAUUUUCUGGAGAGAGGCACCACAAUGAUCCAGACCUUCUUGGUGCUUUUGGCCAUGUCAGUGAGUGAGCUAGGCCUGAUCUUGGAGAGCUAUUAUGACAAUUUAAACAGAAAGCAAAGUUAAAAGAAUUACACUGUAGAUAUCCAUGUGUUUACCACCUAGAUUCUCCAAAUAGCAUUUGGCUUUAUUUGGAGCUAUCCAUGCAUCCAUGCAUCCAUCCAUUCAGCUUGUGUUUUAUGUGCAUUUCAGAUACAGUUUCGAGCAUGUGUGGACUGCACUGGUCCAAAGUGUUUUGAUAAGAUGGAAGAGAUAGACACAUGAAUUCAAAGGAGGAGCCAUUAUUGAAAGCCGAAGUGAAGAAAAAGAAUUGUUUUAAACUUGAGAGAAGCAGGAGGAUCCAGGGAGCAAAAGAUGGGAGAGGUAUAGGGAUAUUGAAGGUGAUCUGGCUUGGUGACCUGAAUUUUUCUUCUAGAAGUAGGAGGUAGAAACAUUUGUUAAAGAUGAGAACUGAGUAGGUCUAGUGGACAGGGACAUAAAUGAGGUAUAUUCACUGGGGGAAACAGGAUGGGAAUUAUCAAUGAGCUAAAGGAUUGGUGGGGUCCCUAAGGAUUUGGCUGAACUUGAACCUAUAGCAGCACCAUUCUUGGAGCUGGUGUCAAUACAUUAGCUUUCUAAUAUCAGUGUACCACCUUUUCCCCUGUGACCUACUCCAAACUGCUCUAGCUAUCUGUUGCUUCCUAGACUACUCUAUCUAUCCAGCUGCACCAUCUCAGUAGAGUCAAAUUGCAAAGUCAUUUUCUGACAACUUUCUUCUAAAACCCAGUCUUUUGUUGCUGAGGGUGACUUUUUGUCACCAAAAGACCAAAUGACCACAACUACCAAAAGCUUUCUAGGCUUAUAACUGGUGUCUUUAUGCCUUCCUACAAGAGACGAAGGAAAAAUAGGUCAAUAGAAAAUACACAUAUUGGCCAAUUAUUAUGAUAUUUUUCUCAAGGUACCAAAAAGACAGUGGAAUCAUAUUUUUAAAACUCUCCUUUAGGGUUACUGGGCUCUGAUUUUUCCUUAAAUUUCUUUUCUUUCUUUCUUUUUUAUUUCUCCUGAAGACCCAUCAGUAUUUCAAAGCUAAAGAUGUAGUCACUUUGUUUGGUUAGGGUUGAAAUAACUUGGUGUUUGUAGUUACUAGAAUAACAUGGAAGCUCAUUUGCUAAAUAUGACGUUACAUUGUGUAAGUUAAUAGAUGUUGUCACUCUGUAUUCCAAGCAGAGAUGUAUCAUUCAACAGAUGUAUACAGAACCAUAAAAAAAAAAUACCCACAAAAAUUUAAGUUCUAUAUUUGCUGUUUCUGGAGCAAAUUCUGUAGCUGUCAUCUCUGGGAUGGGGAAAUCACAACUUUGUUGCUUUUCCAACACUUUGCAAUUUAUUUUUUAAAUUACACAGGGUGGAGUCGGGCACCUUAUUAUUUUCAGUGCUUAAGAUCUUAAGGGAUUUUAAUUAGACCCUGAUGUCAGAGGCCAUUGUGGUUCCCUCUGUUUUUAUUCCUUUUGAAUUCCUCCAGUUGAAUGCUGAGGUGAGGUCAUAAUUUUGAAGGAGUUUCUGCCAGGAAGAAGUAACUGGUGGAAAGCUGUUUGUCUCUGGUGUGUUCCAUGGCUUUUCCAAACAACAGUGUCAGUGGUUGCUACAAGCACAGGCUUUCUCUUAGGGCUUUGGACAAAAGGGUACUCUGGCUUUCUUCCUUCCUUCCUUUUCUCCACCCCUCCCUUCCUUCCUUCCUUCCCUUUUGUCCUGGUUCCUACCUAAGAUCAUGUAGCUUCUAUGUUUAAUCAUUAUCAAAUGUUGCUUCCAGGCUCCCGCUUCCCAACUUCUGCAUUUACUUUCUUUACCCAGUCUGCUCCCAUACAUAACUGACAGUUCUGCUUCGGUUUUCAUCCAUCUUCCCACCAAGGAUGAGUGAGUGGCAGCUACUUGAGACUUGCCAUCCCAUAUUCUAGAACAGAAAGACUGAGACAGUAGAGAAAUAGUUCCUUUAAAACCCUGAACCCUUUCAGGAAUUAAGGAAUGUGUGUUUCUUUUAUUAUAUUAGGUUCUACUUACAAGCCAGGAUGCAGGAUGCUAUCUUGAUGAGGGACAGACAAGGUUGCAAAGGGGAACAUACUGAGCAAUGAGCAACAGCUGAGAGCUACAAAGAUAGGGCUGUGCUCAUGUAUAAAUAGAAAUGUUGCUGUUGCCCUGAUGAAUCAGACCAGAUGUUUCUCUGAUGUCUCUGUUUGGUCUUUUGGUUAAAAAAAAAAAAAAGUAUAAUUUUGCUAAAAUUAUAUGUGGGGCCAGGAAUGUGGCACAAAUGCUUUAAGCUUAAAUAAUAUGUAAAAGAGUGAAACUGCCUUACUGAGAAAACCUUUAUCAAUAAGAAAAAAAUAACUAUUUAGAGAAAGAUAGAAAAAGGGUGGGAGGCAAUCAAGCUUUUGACUGAGUUGAUUCAGAAGAUUCAAAUUUGACUUCUUCCUGACUUUAGCUCUAUGAUCUUGGCUAAGUCAAGUCAUUUCUCAGGGUCUAUACGUGUUUAUUCUAAUUUAUUUUCAAGGUGAGAUCUUGCUAUAUUGCUGAGGCUACUGUCCGACUUAGGUGAGCCUCCUUCAGGCUUAAGACUCCUCAGUAGCUGGGAAUAGAGGCAUUAACUAUCAUUCUU